Molecule: ribosomal RNA, 490 nt
Filed under: uncultured bacterium
Lineage: Bacteria
Description: partial 16S ribosomal RNA
Rfam family: Bacterial small subunit ribosomal RNA
Source: RNAcentral
AUUGAACGCUGGCGGCAGGCCUAACACAUGCAAGUCGAACGGUAACAGGAAGAAGCUUGCUUCUUUGCUGACGAGUGGCGGACGGGUGAGUAAUGUCUGGGAAACUGCCUGAUGGAGGGGGAUAACUACUGGAAACGGUAGCUAAUACCGCAUAACGUCGCAAGACCAAAGAGGGGGACCUUCGGGCCUCUUGCCAUCGGAUGUGCCCAGAUGGGAUUAGCUAGUAGGUGGGGUAACGGCUCACCUAGGCGACGAUCCCUAGCUGGUCUGAGAGGAUGACCAGCCACACUGGAACUGAGACACGGUCCAGACUCCUGCGGGAGGCAGCAGUGGGGAAUAUUGCACAAUGGGCGCAAGCCUGAUGCAGCCAUGCCGCGUGUAUGAAGAAGGCCUUCGGGUUGUAAAGUACUUUCAGCGGGGAGGAAGGGAGUAAAGUUAAUACCUUUGCUCAUUGACGUUACCCGCAGAAGAAGCACCGGCUAACUCCGUG